Molecule: ribosomal RNA, 255 nt
Filed under: uncultured bacterium
Lineage: Bacteria
Description: partial 16S ribosomal RNA
Rfam family: Bacterial small subunit ribosomal RNA
Source: RNAcentral
UACAGAGGUCUCAAGCGUUGCUCGGAAUCACUGGGCGUAAAGGGUGCGUAGGCGGGUCUUUUAAGUCAGGGGUGAAAUCCUGGAGCUCAACUCCAGAACUGCCUUUGAUACUGAAGAUCUUGAGUUCGGGAGAGGUGAGUGGAACUGCGAGUGUAGAGGUGAAAUUCGUAGAUAUUCGCAAGAACACCAGUGGCGAAGGCGGCUCACUGGCCCGAUACUGACGCUGAGGCACGAAAGCGUGGGGAGCAAACAGGG